CGGGUGAGUAACGCGUAAAGAACUUGCCUCACAGAUAGGGACAACAUUUGGAAACGAAUGCUAAUACCUGAUAUUAUGAUUUUAGGGCACCCUAGAAUUAUGAAAGCUAUAUGCGCUGUGAGAGAGCUUUGCGUCCCAUUAGUUAGUUGGAGGGGUAACGGCUCACCAAGGCGAUGAUGGGUAGCCGGCCUGAGAGGGUGAUCGGCCACAAGGGGACUGAGACACGGCCCUU
Molecule: ribosomal RNA, 232 nt
Filed under: uncultured bacterium
Lineage: Bacteria
Description: partial 16S ribosomal RNA
Rfam family: Bacterial small subunit ribosomal RNA
Source: RNAcentral